CGAGAAAGCCCGCAAGGGUGAGUAAAGCGGCGCACGGGUGCGUAACACGUGGGUAAUCUACCCUGAAGUCCGGAAUAACUCGCCGAAAGGCGUGCUAAUGCCGGAUGAGACCACGGGAGCCUCGGCUCCUGCGGGAAAAGGUGGCCUCUGUAUACAAGCUAUCGCUCCAGGAUGACCCCGCGGCCCAUCAGCUCGUUGGCGGGGUAAUGGCCCACCAAGGCUACGACGGGUAGCUGGUCUGAGAGGACGAUCAGCCACACUGGAACUGAGACACGGUCCAGACUCCUACGGGAGGCAGCAGUGGGGAAUCUUGCGCAAUGGGCGAAAGCCUGACGCAGCAACGCCGCGUGUGUGAUGAAGGUCUUCGGAUCGUAAAGCACUGUCGCGAGGGACG
RNAcentral lists this ribosomal RNA (394 nucleotides) under uncultured Anaeromyxobacter sp. RNAcentral's name for it is "bacterial SSU rRNA". It matches the Rfam family "Bacterial small subunit ribosomal RNA", at positions 67 to 447 of the family's 1533-position model. Lineage: Bacteria; Pseudomonadati; Myxococcota; Myxococcia; Myxococcales; Anaeromyxobacteraceae. The record is from RNAcentral.